RNAcentral lists this ribosomal RNA (4269 nucleotides) under Triticum aestivum (bread wheat). Its description in RNAcentral is "partial small subunit ribosomal RNA". Lineage: Eukaryota; Viridiplantae; Streptophyta; Magnoliopsida; Poales; Poaceae. The record is from RNAcentral.
CCUUCCAGGGGGCCUCCCGCCCCCGCAGGUACCUCAGCUAGUAUCGCGCCCGCGACCUCAUGUGCGAGUUCAUGACCGAGUUCAGGAAGUGGGCGCUGGUCAAGUUCGAGUUGCCGGCGUGGCGGCUCGAGAGGUUGGAGCUAUAGUUACCGCUGCGCGACGUGCGGUCGGACCCGGACGGAGGCCGCGAGUGGCAGCUUGCGCGCGCCCAGCCCUUCGAGGUCUAGUGCGACGGUAGCCACAGUUUACACGUUCACCUCGGUUAACACCAGUUGUAACUGUUUGAACUAGAGCACGAACAUCUCUUCCUGCUAAGUCUUUUAGAAAGGUCGGGAUGGUCGUUACGCAGUAGUUGUCGUGGUUGAUUUUCGUGGCCUAUACCUAUACGACUGUUCUAACGUCUACCGUACUGACAUGUUCAUCCAUAGCACUUGGACGAUAACCUUUGUGUACCUCCACGAGCGGCCGUUCCUCUACGUUGUACCAGUGGAGGCGAUCGACGAUAGUGUAAAGCACUAGAGCAUGACAUGUGUUGUUUGCUUUUUACCGUCCGACAUUUAAACUUUCUUCGUUCCCUAAAGAGGUUGUCGUGUCCUAAAUAAAUACAAAAGUUCUUUAACCUUACCGCCAGUGACAGUCAACUAGAAAAUGGGGUAGGACUGUACAAACGGCUACGUGCUAAAUUGAGAAGUUCGUCAGUUCUAUUGUUUGCUCUACUACUACCACGUUUCGCUUACAAGAAACCGCCGCUUUCCAAAAACCUUCCUUAUAGUCCCCUCCGAUUAUAUUGAGACGUUGCUUGCCUCGUCUUGUUGGGUGAACCGGACCUCCAAGUCGACGUACAAUGACUUCGAGAGACAGGACGAAAUUCACUUGGACCAAAUGCCCGCAAAGAAGCUAAGUACUGACCCCAUAGACGCACGAAUUUAUCUCCUCUAAACCUGGGUUUCAGAGUUGUCGUACGUCUUCGUCGUCCUAGAAGGAACCAUAGGAAAUAACAUCUAGUGUAUAAGGAAACGUAAUUUCUACGACUCAAAGUCGAACUUGAAGAUUACGUUAGCGACAAGAAGAGUGCCCGAUCGUAAAGUCUGCCCCUCUCAAGUUUUUUGAACAGAACGUAUUUCCAACGACCCAACAAAGACUCCCUGUGUAAAAGAGCAGGAGGUACGUGUAACUAUGUUGGUAGAUACGUCCGACAAGGUGUUCUUGGGAACGGAUAGGGACUAAAACCAGUUUUAAAGACAGGAGGAUAGAUAGGUAAACCCUUAGUCAAGAACCUUAAGCGACGACCUUAAGGAAACAAAAGGGAAAUAACAGAGGUCUGGUGAGGAAGAGGUAGUGGAGGUUUCAAACGAAGCUUUUGUCAGUAGUGUACGGUCGGAGAAUACCACUGGGAAGUCCUUGUUAGGACGAAUUCUUAACGGAGUAAGAAUCGACUACCUCAACACGGGUUAGUGUCACGGUGUCAACGACUAAGGAGUUAAUUGUCGGACAGCAAAAGAGAGUUUCUCAAGCUAGAUAGACAAGGCAAUCUACGACUUCUUUAACGUUCCACGUCACCUUGGUUCUGGCGAAUGAGGGUCAGUAGUAAAAGUCCUCGUUCUGAAGUACAUCUCCUGGAUGUGAAGACGCUCAGUGGUAGUCGUUUGACAAGUGACGAUUUGGAACUGUUUCUAGGUCGAACGAAGGAAGAAACCCUUAUAGUUGGACAACUACGGUCGGUCUCCUUCACCCAAUCAUCUCGAAGAGUAGAUUCGGAGAGCGAACUUUGGAGAUCAUGAAGUUUACCUGUCUCUCAUCACUCCCUAGGGAGAGGUUUACACAACUUUACAUAACUUAAUCUACUGUAAGCUAAACUCCGUCGAUACCAAUGGCGUCUACCAUCGGGAGACACACUAAACGGUGGGGGUCUCCCCCAACACUCUUAACCACAACGAAAGGUUGUCAAGUAGAGAUUGUGAAGUCAACUCGUCAACAAAAAACAGAAUCCGGAGAUACCGAUGAAACCUGUUCAACCUCUUGCUUAAAGUUUCCAAUCAUUUCCAUUGUUCAGACCGUUUCUAUCACUCGGAAGUCAACUGUUAGAAGUCUUUUUUGAAGGGUCACUAUGUCGACACUCGAAUUGAUACUUAUCAGAGGUCGAGUUAAAGAACCUUGUAAACAGUCGCCCUCUGUAUGUAUACGGGAACCAAGUCAAACCACCUCUCCUAGAGAUGGACUUUCAAAGAGUAGCGUGAGAUCCACCACGGAAACGUCAGUGUUGAUUGCACUACACCUCUUGACAGAGUCAUUUGACAAACCUUCCUCUUUGACGAUGUUAGGUACUCUUACCGUGACGGCACUACCCACUUGUAUUGCAACACCAUACACUUUUACCCGUAGGGUUCUACUCUGGCCACAAAACCCAACUGGUAGCCUCGUUCGUGGUACGAUUUCCACGAGUUAAGUAACUGUAUUUGUAGUGAGUACAUUACGGAAUACUGUACUCCCUAUACCUCACGGUAUCGAACUUACAUAGUAGCUUCCAUAGACCACAGGCAGAGCCUCCACCUGACUCAAUAUGGCUCAGAAAUGACGUAGCAAAGCCAUAAGAACCUGGACUACCACCAGGUCCCCUUCCGGAGAACUCUCCGGACUUCCUAAAUAGAAGACCGGGUGAGCCCUUUGACAAGUUUGGUAGAGUGCAGUGGCUGUUCCUUCGUUCUUGGCUUCUGUUACUGUCGUUAAGCUUCAAACUAGACCCCCACGGUCUACUAGAACUACACAGUCAACUCAAUUCUUUGACCAACAAGCGUGAACUUCCCUGUCUUCUUCAUCCUCUAACCAGAAGGGGAGCAUCACUACUAGGAUAAUCAUCCCUUCUGUUUACAACCGUAUGUUGUAAGUCCUUAGACGUGAACAGUCCGUUUUCGUCACUGGCUGGAUUGAACCCUCCACGUCUCUUCCACAACUUGUUCUUCCGUAAAGGUCACCUCGCAAAAUGCCGACCUUAGCUUCCAAAUGUCCGUUAAUUUGGAGCGAACUCUUUAGUUGAACAACCUUUACCUUUUAAUUUAUUAUCAGUCAGUCCGUCACCUAACUUGUUAAGUUCACGAUAACCACUGGUUCCACAACUACAACUUCGAUGGUACCAGUAACCGCUUCUACUAUGACCCCUCCGGUUCACCUACUACCUAUUACAUUUCAAAAGUCAAUUUCUUGGCUAACUCCGGCACCGUUUUUCUCUUCUCGACCUCGUGGAACGGUACUAAACGUCUAGACUUCGACUACGUUACCCCUCCUAGUGACGACCUUAAGAGGCAGACGAAUUUGAACUAUUCAGAGAACCCGUCCCUUGGUAGCUUGUCGACUCCUUGGAUCCUUCACCUCCGUACCUGUUGUAAAAGAGCGGAUCGUCCAAGUCGUCCGUCUUGUCAAAACCGUCGCAUUCGUGGGGAUCCUGGGGGUCCUGGGGUUACAAAGUAUGUUUGUGCUGAUGCCCCAGCUUUCUCCGGGACCUUCGCUGUUAGCGAAGCGAUGUCUCGCUUUAAAGUCUUAGGUUCCGGUCUACGCGCAGGGAUUGUUCGUGACUUCUACUCUUGGCACGGCUCCUGUAGGCCGUCGACUGGCUGUUCGAUCUCUCGUACGUCAGGGACCACUGUUCUUACUCUUGAAACUAGACUCGACAUUUACACAGUAAAGAAACCUCACAUGUCCGACCCGUUUCACCAUGUUUUCACCCAUCGCCGAUUACGACGCGAAAAACGCUUUAAUAAGAAAACAAACACAUGUAGAUAAUGUACAAGGAACCCCAUAUUUCCACCUUCCCACCUUAUUUCCCAAAGGACCUAAUACAAAACAUCGACCUUCAGUCCCACCCGUCGUUGUCGUCGUCGUCUUUUAAAACAUCGACCUUCCUACGUAUUUUACAUCGCCGCACUAGUUUCAUCAGCAAUCCUUCUUAGCUUGACAAUAAACAUACAUACUACUAUACGUGUAUCACAAAACCGCGUAGGCCAGAAAAUAAAUAAAAACGAAUUAUAUAGGUGACCUCCGGACCUCUAACAAAAACGCCACACGUAUCAAUUUCAAAACCUAGUUCAACAGUACAACCACUAACUACUACAAGCGGAGAAGUCCCUCCGUAAGUCUCUCAUCAGGUAUCAACACCGGUGACUAGUCGGAGGCUGCAAGUCACCGGGUCCGAAGGAGAAGAAAGAAGGGGACAUUUGAGAUUUUACAUGUCAACAGGGAGAGGAUAUUACGUUACUGUCGAGGACAGCCAAGCCC